AGAGCUGACUACCAGUGGGGAAGAAUCUCUCUGGAAAUCUGCUCCAUCACAGUUCAUCUCACAAGCCCAGGAUAGGUGAUACAGUUGCUGGGAUCCUCUGAAAGCUGAUACAAAGCCUGAGCUGUAGCUCUAUGGACCAAUGGAUCAUUUGACUUCAAGUAGUGUACUAAAGGAGCUACUGCCUUGUUCUCUCCAAAGCAAAUUGACUAUAAGCUCCAAGCCACCCACGAAGGACCGAACCAUUUCUCCUGCAUCCUAAAUAAGAAUAAAAGGAAACAUUAUUUUAGAA
Non-coding RNA from Meleagris gallopavo (turkey), 289 nucleotides. The record is from RefSeq and is a predicted model, not a curated record. NCBI's taxonomy places the organism in Eukaryota, Metazoa, Chordata, Aves, Galliformes, Phasianidae.